RNAcentral lists this ribosomal RNA (1260 nucleotides) under Staphylococcus aureus. RNAcentral's name for it is "bacterial LSU rRNA". It matches the Rfam family "Bacterial large subunit ribosomal RNA", at positions 1 to 1261 of the family's 2925-position model. Lineage: Bacteria; Bacillati; Bacillota; Bacilli; Caryophanales; Staphylococcaceae. The record is from RNAcentral.
AGAUUAAGUUAUUAAGGGCGCACGGUGGAUGCCUUGGCACUAGAAGCCGAUGAAGGACGUUACUAACGACGAUAUGCUUUGGGGAGCUGUAAGUAAGCUUUGAUCCAGAGAUUUCCGAAUGGGGAAACCCAGCAUGAGUUAUGUCAUGUUAUCGAUAUGUGAAUACAUAGCAUAUCAGAAGGCACACCCGGAGAACUGAAACAUCUUAGUACCCGGAGGAAGAGAAAGAAAAUUCGAUUCCCUUAGUAGCGGCGAGCGAAACGGGAAGAGCCCAAACCAACAAGCUUGCUUGUUGGGGUUGUAGGACACUCUAUACGGAGUUACAAAGGACGACAUUAGACGAAUCAUCUGGAAAGAUGAAUCAAAGAAGGUAAUAAUCCUGUAGUCGAAAAUGUUGUCUCUCUUGAGUGGAUCCUGAGUACGACGGAGCACGUGAAAUUCCGUCGGAAUCUGGGAGGACCAUCUCCUAAGGCUAAAUACUCUCUAGUGACCGAUAGUGAACCAGUACCGUGAGGGAAAGGUGAAAAGCACCCCGGAAGGGGAGUGAAAUAGAACCUGAAACCGUGUGCUUACAAGUAGUCAGAGCCCGUUAAUGGGUGAUGGCGUGCCUUUUGUAGAAUGAACCGGCGAGUUACGAUUUGAUGCAAGGUUAAGCAGUAAAUGUGGAGCCGUAGCGAAAGCGAGUCUGAAUAGGGCGUUUAGUAUUUGGUCGUAGACCCGAAACCAGGUGAUCUACCCUUGGUCAGGUUGAAGUUCAGGUAACACUGAAUGGAGGACCGAACCGACUUACGUUGAAAAGUGAGCGGAUGAACUGAGGGUAGCGGAGAAAUUCCAAUCGAACCUGGAGAUAGCUGGUUCUCUCCGAAAUAGCUUUAGGGCUAGCCUCAAGUGAUGAUUAUUGGAGGUAGAGCACUGUUUGGACGAGGGGCCCCUCUCGGGUUACCGAAUUCAGACAAACUCCGAAUGCCAAUUAAUUUAACUUGGGAGUCAGAACAUGGGUGAUAAGGUCCGUGUUCGAAAGGGAAACAGCCCAGACCACCAGCUAAGGUCCCAAAAUAUAUGUUAAGUGGAAAAGGAUGUGGCGUUGCCCAGACAACUAGGAUGUUGGCUUAGAAGCAGCCAUCAUUUAAAGAGUGCGUAAUAGCUCACUAGUCGAGUGACACUGCGCCGAAAAUGUACCGGGGCUAAACAUAUUACCGAAGCUGUGGAUUGUCCUUUGGACAAUGGUAGGAGAGCGUUCUAAGGGCGUUGAAGCAUGAU